UUUUUUUUUUAGAAUUGAGCCUCUAUGGUGUGAUGUUUGGUCAGCCGUCUCUUGUACUAUGAAGAACUGCAAUGGAAGAAGAGACAGUGCUUGAUUCGGCAGGUGAACUGCACCUAUUUUAUGGUGGAGCAACUUUUUCAAGAGGAAAUUGUUGACAUUGUCACAGAGGAUGAUGGUGUGGUCGUGGUGCCAGAGAUCUAUUGUCCUUUGUCAGACCAAAAGCCUUUGAUAUCACCAUUGAAUGUCCAGGGGCCCGUUUCAGAAAGGUGGUUAAGUGAAAACUCUGAGUUUACUAUCUCAGAGUAAAUCAACUCAGAGUUCAAGUUUAAACUCAGAGUUGGUUGAACCUCCUUAUUGAAACGGGCCCCAGGAGUUAUACCAACAGACACUCUAUGUCAUCCAAAGACUGUGUUCCAUUUAAAUUGUAAAAGUCAUUUUCAGGUUUGAAAGAUGCAGAAGUUGGUUCACAGAUGUACUUUUCCUUUAAAACUAUUUCCCACCUGUAAUCACAAUGGAGACACAUCUCUGAGUGCUGGGCUUCCCCUCUUAUUGUGUUCGGAUUCAUAUGCAUCUGCAGGGUUAUUCAUGCCAACACUUUAUAGCGUUGUGCUGGUAAUUUAUCUUUAUAUAUCAUGCCUUCUCACUGCGUCUGUCAGCCUGUGCUUUACAUAUCUGAGAGUCAACGCAGCUAAACAUGAAGGACAAAUGAAUGCAAGACAUUAUGCAUGUUAUAUAUCGGCAUAUGGAUGAUUAGAUUAAAAACUGCUUUCUGUUUGUGUGUUUAAACAUCAAGACAUAGAAAAUGUACUGUCUUCCAUUUUCUGUUGUGUAAUAAAUCAUAGGAAAAUCAUUUUAAACCAUUCAACCAUUAAAUUUGAGAAAUAACUUUUUUGUAACAAAAAUAUUUAAGACUUUUUAAACCAUUUAAUAGCAUGUACAAUCACAAGUGUUUUUUGUCAUCCUCAUCCCAUCUCCAUGUUGUUUCUUUAUUCUGCUGAACACAAGACAUUUUAGAAAAAGACGACAUUUUAAUAAAUGAUGGUUAGCACACAUGAGACUGUACCCAUUGACUUCCUUAGAUUUUAUUUGUACUUUAGACGUCAAUGGGUACACUCUCCUGUGUGCUUACCAUCAUUUAUCAAAAUAUCUUCUCAGCAGAAUAAAGAAACUUAAACAGGUUUACAACAACAUGAGGCUGAGUAAAUGAUAGCAGAAUUUUCAUUUUUGUGUGAAUUAUCCCUUAUUCCCUUUAAGACUCUGUAAACCAUUCAGAUGCAUGUAAAAUCAUUAACAACUGUUAAACAGCAUCUAUAAAUGAUAAAAAAGACAUUACUAUUGGGAGAAACAUUUUGUCUAGACAUUUGAGUUCAUUUCAACCGACACUCUGUAAAAGUAAGCAUCAUGUUGCACUGGUGUUUCCAUUCUUUCUUUAAAUUCAUUUGCUUGGCCUUCGCUGCAUGCAUGUGUGAUCAAACUCAGUUAUUUUGAAGGCGUUUUUCUCUUGACAGAAGCAGGUGCCUGUCAACCACUGCAUCACCCGUGGGACAGAAAGUGCUGCCUCGUCUCCCCGUCUAGGGAAGUAAAAUAAACAAUAAGCAUAUAAUGACAUCACUACAUAUAGCACAAUAGUCAUUCAACACAAAUACUUUAAAAUGUAUGACUUGUUUGUAACUAAUUGUUGCUUUAGAAAACCGCAAGUUUACAAGGUAUACAUUAGAACCCUGAAAUUUUGAAGCUGGCCACCCUGUGCAAGGCUAACAGUAAAAACCUCUCCAGCAGCACAUCCAAAUAACUUAAUAGCAAAUUUAGCAUUGUGACUGUAGCAUCCUGUACUCCUCUGUGAGGUCUAUAUGCAAAUUGAAUAGGGUCCAAUGUUGUGUCUUUAGAGACUUAUUAUAAAUUUCAUAAAAUACAGGGCUCAGUUCUUUUGCACAAGACUUUUUGUACAAUAGUUAGCUUGUCUGGAACAAAGCAUUCACAUAAAGGCUCGUACAGACUACAUGACUUUAAAACGUUGUCAAGCGUCAAGAGCUCAUUAUUAUUCGACUGAAGCGUGCAGCCGAAUAACACUCGCUGCGUAGACGUUUGUAGCACGGCCAGCUACGCAAUGCUCGUUCCCGUUAUUUCAGGGAACCGGGGUUACGCGAGUUCCCUUUCAAUACGGUUCACUUCGCAUUGCGUCAGUUGCUGACGCUAUGGGGGAAAGUAAUCCCAUCACGCCGUGCAUACACAACGUACUGAAGUGCCUUACCGGAAAGACACUGCGUGUGGCCCUAUAUCCGGCAUAUUCACAGCUUUAAAGCAAAAGUGUAAGCACCAUAUAAAAUGUUAACGCGCAUACGGUGGGGUUUUAACUGCACCGGGAGCACAUAACAUAGCACAAGCCGGCAAGAUCACCGAGCGCGCCACGAGUGUGCGAGAUAAGUAAAUUCAGAGUCACGUUAGUGAGCUCGCACACAUAGGUAGUAUUAUAGUGCACAGAUCGGUGAGCUUUCCAAGCGUGCCGUAAAUGUGUACUGACUAUAAAUUGCACGGGCACAGGUGAACACUUGAGUACAUCGUAAAUGCAUAUAGAUGAAUCAGAGUGUUAUAAUGCACAGGCCGGCAAGAUUCUCGAGCGCGGGGGGUUUAGACUUUUCUCUGUCACUAGACAGAAUAGAUCAGACUUUGCAUAAGGACGCCUUGCGAAAAGGAUCCUAGCAGCUCGUGUCAACAUGUCAUAAGGCAGGUCGUGUCCCACGGAUGCAAUCUCCACACGCCCGUCGUAACAGGUUAAUAUGUCUGCAUCUUGGUGGUUUAAGCACGAGAUGCGUAUCACUCUGAUUGAACAUAGCUUAUAAAGCGAUGCAAUGAGUUUAUAAAGGAGAUGACUCGUCAGCUUGUACAGGGGUGAGAUCUCAGUCUGGCUCGGUGAAUAAUGAAACCACCGUAGUUUGCUCGACCGCAUUAUCACAAUAACACGGUCGAGAGUGCUGCAGUGCUAAAAUCAUCCCCUUAAUGGACCGUAUGUACAGUACAAGGUGAUUGAUGUGAGACAAACGGGCGUUCCACGCGCUGAAGGCUGAUUGCCGUCGUAAGGCGUGUUCAACCCACAUCAGAUGCUGGGCGAGCUCGUAAUGAUAGCACUUCAUGUAGCCGUGUGUAACUUAAAGUAUAAGCUUCCCGGCCGUCAGCUCGGGGCGGGACCUUGCUUAGUCAAACUGAAGUGGUCUUAUGAACAGAAUGCCACAAUAUUCAGCUUUCUGGGGCUCGUUAGAUACCGCACAUCUGACUGUGAGCGCGCUUUGGUGUUGAGCUCGCUUUCCGAGCAUCAUAAACGAAACUUAUUGUGGCGGGUAGCAAGCUCACUUGAGGUUGAUAUUACCCUUAAUAUUUCCGAGUAUUGGAGCGGAGCGGAGGUGUGAGCGUCUUCGGAUUCACUGAUAUAAACCAGCUAUAUGGCCGAAAAACGUCAUAAACCGCUUGGCUGUAAGCCUUUGAGUGGCCGUCAGGAGAGGGCGCGAUUCAAACGUUUGGAGCCAUAAAAAUCUGAGGCUGCCGUCUCUCUAGGAAGAGAAAAUAACAGCCGUAAGACCGUGCUCGGCUGCUAGCGAAUUUCAACGAGAAGCGUCAAAACCGGGUUUUUCGGUGAGCAUCGUUACAAUUAUAUUACUGACUGCUUGGCGGGUAAGGCAGAAAGGUGUUAGAGACACCGUACAGCCGUGGGGUGUCAAUACACAGUAUAUGGCCAAACUGGGUUUUUUUCGGCGAGCGUCGAUACAAUUAUGGACGGCAGGCCGUGUGUGCGUAUUACUGACUGCUUGUCGGUAAGGCAAAAAGUGUUUAAAGACACCGUACAGCCGUGGGGUGUCAAUACACAGUAUAGUAAGCACGGAAAUUGCUCUUAGAGGAAUUCAAUACCGUUCGCCACUAUAGUGAGGUCGCAUAACCGACAGUAUUACACAGUAUGUUUUUUGGAUAAACAGCACACAGAAAACAUUUCAGGGCAGUCCAGCCGUGGCGCGACUUAACCCUUCCUCUCCCAGACAGUUGGUUCUCUGUCGACGCAGCUAUGCUGCGAAGACCAGAUCUCGGCCGUUCAGGUGCACGAGCCUCAGUAGUGACGGUGACCAGAGCGGCUCACAGAGCAGAGCAGUAUGUCUGGGUGGUUUAAUGUCAGACUGGACCCAUCACAGAGAGGAAGUCUGCCGUGAGGCCCGCGGUUUUGCCAUUUAUUUAAAGGGCAGAAAAACCGGGGUAUAUAAGAAAUGUACCAAUAUUCAGCGCACUGAAUAGGACGGGACUGAAUAAAGGGAGGUAUUCGGGCCUCAGCAUGUUAUAAACAAAUUUGUUCUGACUCUGAUUCCGUCUAAGCCAGAGAGAAAUGACCGGGCAGACGAAAAGUGAGCUCUACCGAAGUGAGACAGACUCAGGCCAGUUAAGCUCUUAUAAUAAGUGUUCUUAGUGCUCCAAUAGCGGCGUGUCCGCCUUAUCGAGCAGACGAAUGAGAUUGCGCCGCUCCAGGAGGGGAGGGGCAUGAAGCUUUGUAUAGACGAAUAGUGAGCUCUACCGGAGUGAGACAGAUUCAGGCCGGAUAAGCUCUUAUAAUAAGUGUUCUUAGUGCUCCAAUAGCGGCGUGUCCGCCCUAUCGAGCAGACAAAUGAGAUCGCACUGCUCCAGGAGGGGAGGGGCAUGAAGCUCUGUAAUCGUUGAACACUCGACAGCUGCAAGCGAAGGCUAUCUUCGGUUCUCAGCCGGAAAGCGGCAGGGGAAGACGCUAGACCUGGAUUCUGCUAUCUUCGGUUCUCAGCCGGAACGGCAGGGGAAGACGCUAGGCCUGGACUCCGCUGCAGGGCUUGUGUCGACGGCGAGGUAAGGCUUCAUCUUCUUUGGAGCAGCGAGAGGUUCGCGCUGAAGGAGAAAAUUAAUGAGCUCUUGACGCUUGACCCGCGCUUAUACAAGGACGUGUGCAUCCCACGCGUGGGUUCAAACGUAAUUGGUCUGUAUUUUUUACAGACGUUUACCAAUAGGCUUCAAUCGCGGAGUAAACAGGUGUUUCCCCAAUAGCGUCAGCAACUGACGCAAUGCGAAGUGAACCGUAUUGAAAGGGAACUUUUGUUUGUAUAUAGACUUCAGACAGAAAUUAGUGCUGCAAACCGUUUGCGCGAUGCAAAGUCGCAAAAGAAAAAAAUUAAAGAGAUGUGGAUGUGGAGAGGUGGAUCAGCACCACAUGCGGACAGCAGGGAUUAAAGAGUUGGAGGCGAGUACAGCUUGUUUACAUAGGAAAUAUAGCUGCAUGCUUAUGUUUGGCUAUGAUCACAUUUAAAAUAUCAAAGUUUUGUCUACUGUGCUUAAAAGCUGUGCUUAAAAGCUGUGUUUCUUGAUUUAAUUAUCGUUCAAAUAGAAUAGGACAGGCGCAAAGCAUGACUUGGAGAGCAUUUGACUUUGACCCUGCGAUUCUAUGCAACAGGUUUGUGUGAUUUAAUUUCAAACGAAUAUGAACGGAAUGUUGUCAUAACGUUUUUUCUGUCUGGGUAUGUUUUUGGACUUUUUUGUGUCAUGCAGGUGACACAUUCAAGUCCCUCAGGUUCAAGUCCAGGAUGGGGGACCAGCACCAUCUCAUAAAUAGUUUUGGAUACCUGUUCUGCUCUGUACCAGGUUAUAAAGGAUGAUUUCUUGAAGACACCAUCAACGGAAGGAGAGUGGCAUACAAUAGCCAUGGACUUCGAAAGGAAGUGGCAGUUUCCACAUUGCUUUGGGGUACUUGCUACCACUCCAGCUGUAGCAGACUGCUGACCACAACAUGGUUGAUGGGCAGUGGAAGAAUCAUAGGUGCUUUUCAACCGAUGAAAUACACCUCACAUCGCAAUUGUAUGGCAACAGCAAAAGUGCAACGCAAUCUGAUGCGGGACUACUUUGUCUGAACCAGCGGGUAGUGUUUAUUGGCAAGUUCAACACAUUUUAAAAGGAACUGAUGUAGAGUUAUCCCUGCAAACAGCAGAUUAAAGUCAGUUAUUGUCAGUUUAGGACAUUUGUUUUCGUGUGUGUUCUAAAGUCCUGUAUAUGUAAAGAACACAAAUGUGGUUCACUUAUUCAUUGUUUUGAGUAUUCUGUUUAUUGUUGUGUUAUUAUUCAAUUAAUUUUAAUUGCAUACAAAUCAAAAGGUGCAGGAAUGUAACAAAUAAAGGCAAUCUGUAUGUUGCAAUUAAGUGCCUUAUACUAACUUUAUUUCUUGAUCCACACUUUCUUGAUUCACAGAACAUUUACAAUGUCUCUAUACUAGGGCGAUAAACAUCAACAUAUCUGAUGAUCAUGAUAAAAUUUAUGGCGAUUGUAAUGAUAAGCUCUGGGCAUUUUUACUCAAUGUGGAUUAAUCUAACAGCCAAUCACACACAAUUAUAUUACGAUAUUUAUAUCACCACAUAGGGAGUUUUGUAAUGUUUAAUUGUGUUAAUGUGGCGCACUGCAUGUGUUCUAACAAUGUAUAUUUUGUCUGUCCACAUAAUAUACAUUCAAAUGUUCUACAUUGUUUUCAAGUUGCACAAACAACAAUGCAAUGCUAUAAAGCUCUAUAUUCAUAUUGCCUGUUUUUGUAAAAUAUGACUCAAUGUGUUUUAUACUUUUAUACUUUGUUGCAAUAAAUUUAUUACUUUCGAUAGACCAUUUAUUUCAUGAAACAACACUGGGAAAUUCAAUCUAAACCCUUUAACAAGUUUAAUCACCUUAUUGAUAAAUGUAAUGCAUAGUAAAGUCAAUAG
This is a non-coding RNA of Misgurnus anguillicaudatus (oriental weatherfish), 6737 nucleotides long. NCBI's taxonomy places the organism in Eukaryota, Metazoa, Chordata, Actinopteri, Cypriniformes, Cobitidae. The record is from RefSeq and is a predicted model, not a curated record.